Molecule: ribosomal RNA, 2306 nt
Filed under: Clostridioides difficile
Lineage: Bacteria; Bacillati; Bacillota; Clostridia; Peptostreptococcales; Peptostreptococcaceae
Description: 23S ribosomal RNA
Rfam family: Bacterial large subunit ribosomal RNA
Source: RNAcentral
GCGUACUUUUUGUAGAACGGGCCAACGAGUUACGUUAAGUAGCAAGGUUAAGCACUUAAGGUGCGGAGCCGUAGCGAAAGCGAGUUUUAACUGAGCGUUCAGUUACUUGACGUAGACCCGAAACCGGGCGACCUACCCAUGAGCAGGAUGAAGCGAAAGUAAAAUUUCGUGGAGGUCCGAACCCACGAGCGUUGAAAAGCUCGGGGAUGACUUGUGGGUAGCGGUGAAAUUCCAAUCGAGCCCGGAGAUAGCUGGUUCUCCCCGAAAUAGCUUUAGGGCUAGCCUCAAGGUGAGAGAUACGGAGGUAGAGCACUGAAUGUCCUAGGGGGUAUUGCACCUACCGAAGACUAUCAAACUCCGAAUGCCGUCAUCUUAUACUUGGGAGUCAGACUGUGGGUGAUAAGAUUCAUAGUCGAAAGGGCAACAGCCCAGAUCGUCAGCUAAGGUCCCUAAAUGUAAGUUAAGUGGUAAAGGAUGUGGGAUUGCACAGACAACCAGGAUGUUGGCUUAGAAGCAGCCACUCAUUCAAAGAGUGCGUAAUAGCUCACUGGUCGAGUGAUCCUGCGCCGAAGAUUUCCGGGGCUAAAACUUACUACCGAAGCUACGGCAUCAGUAAUGAUGGGUAGGGGAGCUUCCCAUACGGGUUGAAGCAUGACCGUAAGGACAUGUGGACAGUAUGGGAGUGAGAAUGUUGGCAUGAGUAGCGAGAUGUGGGUGAGAAUCCCACAGGCCGUAAACCCAAGGUUUCCAGGGGAAGGUUCGUCCGCCCUGGGUUAGUCGGGACCUAAGCUGAGGCCGAAAGGCGUAGGUGAUGGACAACAGGUUGAUAUUCCUGUACUACCGAUAACCGUUUGAGAGAAGGGAUGACACAGUAGGAUAAGCUAAGCACACUGUUGGUUAUGUGUGCCCAAGCAUUGAGGCAGUCAAAGUAGGCAAAUCCGCUUUGAUAAUGCUGGGAUGUGAUGGGGAGCGAAAUUUAGUAGCGAAGUAGCUGAUUUCACACUGUCAAGAAAAGUCUCUAUCGAGGUUAAAGGUACCCGUACCGCAAACCGACACAGGUGGGUGAGGAGAGUAUCCUAAGGCCAGCGAGAGAACUGUUGUUAAGGAACUCGGCAAAAUGACCCCGUAACUUAGGGAUAAGGGGUGCCACCAUCAGGUGGCCGCAGAGAAUAGGCCCAAGCGACUGUUUACCAAAAACAUAGGUUUCUGCUAAGUCGCAAGACGAUGUAUAGGAGCUGACGCCUGCCCGGUGCUGGAAGGUUAAGGGGAUCUGUUAGAGCAAUCGAAGCAGUGAACUUAAGCCCCAGUAAACGGCGGCCGUAACUAUAACGGUCCUAAGGUAGCGAAAUUCCUUGUCGGGUAAGUUCCGACCCGCACGAAAGGCGUAACGAUUUGGGCACUGUCUCAACAACAGACUCGGUGAAAUUGUAAUUCCGGUGAAGAUGCCGGAUACCUGCGACAGGACGGAAAGACCCCAUGGAGCUUUACUGUAGCUUGACAUUGGGUCUUGGUACUACAUGUACAGGAUAGGUGGGAGGCUUUGAAACCAGGACGCCAGUUUUGGCGGAGCCAUCCUUGGGAUACCACCCUUGUAGUACUGGGACUCUAACCAUAGGCCAUGAAUCUGGUCUUGGGACACUGUCAGGUGGGCAGUUUGACUGGGGCGGUCGCCUCCCAAAAGGUAACGGAGGCGCUCAAAGGUUCUCUCAGUACGGUCGGAAAUCGUACGUAGAGUGUAAAGGCAAAAGAGAGCUUGAUUGCAAGACAUACAGGUCGAGCAAGGAUGAAAAUCGGACUUAGUGAUCCGGUGGUUCUGCGUGGAAGGGCCAUCGCUCAACGGAUAAAAGCUACCCUGGGGAUAACAGGCUUAUCUCCCCCAAGAGUCCACAUCGACGGGGAGGUUUGGCACCUCGAUGUCGGCUCAUCACAUCCUGGGGCUGUAGUAGGUCCCAAGGGUUGGGCUGUUCGCCCAUUAAAGUGGUACGCGAGCUGGGUUCAGAACGUCGUGAGACAGUUCGGUCCCUAUCCGUCGCAGGCGUAGGAAAUUUGAGAAGACCUGUCCUUAGUACGAGAGGACCGGGAUGGACGUACCUCUGGUGUACCAGUUGUCCUGCCAAGGGCAUGGCUGGGUAGCUAUGUACGGAAUGGAUAAGCGCUGAAAGCAUCUAAGCGCGAAGCCAACUUCAAGAUAAGAUUUCCCACCGCAAGGGUAAGACCCCAGAAAGACUAUCUGGUUGAUAGGUCGAAGGUGUAAGUGCAGCAAUGUAUUUAGCUUAUCGAUACUAAUAGGUCGAGGACUUGACCAA